This 427-nucleotide ribosomal RNA is filed under the name uncultured Prevotella sp. Its description in RNAcentral is "bacterial SSU rRNA". It matches the Rfam family "Bacterial small subunit ribosomal RNA", at positions 354 to 774 of the family's 1533-position model. Lineage: Bacteria; Pseudomonadati; Bacteroidota; Bacteroidia; Bacteroidales; Prevotellaceae. The record is from RNAcentral.
UGAGGGAAUAUUUGGGGUCAAUGGGCGAGAGCCUGAACCAGCCAAGUAGCGUGCAGGAUGACGGCCCUACGGGUUGUAAACUGCUUUUAUGAAGGAAUAAAGUCACCCACGUGUGGGUGUUUGCAUGUACUUUAUGAAUAAGGACCGGCUAAUUCCGUGCCAGCAGCCGCGGUAAUACGGAAGGUCCGGGCGUUAUCCGGAUUUAUUGGGUUUAAAGGGAGCGUAGGCCGGAGAUUAAGCGUGUUGUGAAAUGCCGCGGCUCAACCGUGGCACUGCAGCGCGAACUGGUUUCUUGAGUGCGCGCGACGCAGGCGGAAUUCGUGGUGUAGCGGUGAAAUGCUUAGAUAUCACGAGGAACCCCGAUUGCGAAGGCAGCUUGCGGGAGCGCAACUGACGCUGAAGCUCGAAGGGUGCGGGGUAUCGAACA